This 460-nucleotide ribosomal RNA is filed under the name uncultured bacterium. RNAcentral's name for it is "partial 16S ribosomal RNA". It matches the Rfam family "Bacterial small subunit ribosomal RNA", at positions 338 to 795 of the family's 1533-position model. The record is from RNAcentral.
CCUACGGGUGGCAGCAGUGAGGAAUAUUGGUCAAUGGACGAGAGUCUGAACCAGCCAAGUAGCGUGAAGGAUGACUGCCCUAUGGGUUGUAAACUUCUUUUAUAUGGGAAUAAAAUGUUCCACGUGUGGGAUUUUGUAUGUACCAUAUGAAUAAGGAUCGGCUAACUCCGUGCCAGCAGCCGCGGUAAUACGGAGGAUCCGAGCGUUAUCCGGAUUUAUUGGGUUUAAAGGGAGCGUAGGUGGAUUGUUAAGUCAGUUGUGAAAGUUUGCGGCUCAACCGUAAAAUGGCAGUUGAAACUGGCAGUCUUGAGUACAGUAGAGGUGGGCGGAAUUCGUGGUGUAGCGGUGAAAUGCUUAGAUAUCACGAAGAACUCCGAUUGCGAAGGCAGUUCACUGGACUGCAACUGACACUGAGGCUCGAAAGUGUGGGUAUCAAACAGGAUUAGAUACCCUAGUAGUC